This 152-nucleotide ribosomal RNA is filed under the name Kodamaea ohmeri. RNAcentral's name for it is "5.8S RNA". It matches the Rfam family "5.8S ribosomal RNA". From Rfam's summary of the family: 5.8S ribosomal RNA (5.8S rRNA) is a component of the large subunit of the eukaryotic ribosome. It is transcribed by RNA polymerase I as part of the 45S precursor that also contains 18S and 28S rRNA. Lineage: Eukaryota; Fungi; Ascomycota; Pichiomycetes; Serinales; Debaryomycetaceae. The record is from RNAcentral.
AAACUUUCAACAACGGAUCUCUUGGUUCUCGCAUCGAUGAAGAACGCAGCGCAAUGCGCUAAGUAAUAUGCUUGAGAUUUUCGUGAAUCAUCGAAUCUUUGAACGCACAUUGCACAUUGGGUAUUCCAAUGGUAUGCUUGUUUGAGCGAAUA